Molecule: long non-coding RNA, 349 nt
Filed under: Setaria viridis
Lineage: Eukaryota; Viridiplantae; Streptophyta; Magnoliopsida; Poales; Poaceae
Description: long non-coding RNA (SVIR_LNC002467)
Source: RNAcentral
GGGAAAGGAGGAAAUUCUUUGAAUAAAGAAUUCGUCUCUUCCGAUCCUCCGUCCCUUCAUCCGUUCCAAAUUGUAAUUUAAAAUAAGGGAAGUAAAAUUCCAAUGAUGUGAGUUGUGAACUGAAGAAUCAAAUACGGGAUCCGAAUAGAUGAUACAACAACAAUUAAUUUUUUAGAAUAGUUUUUUUACCGGUUGUUGGAUGGAAAGUCUUUUUCACUCUCAAAUUUUUUUGGUAUAGUCUCAAAACUAGCUUUUUUUUGGACUGGCGGUCUCGGAGAUAAACUGAAGAACCGGCGCAAGGACGGAAUAAGAAAUCAUAUAAAAAGAUGGCCAACUAGUAACCUUUUCG